Fukomys damarensis (Damara mole-rat) is the source of this 778-nucleotide long non-coding RNA. RefSeq lists it as uncharacterized. Lineage: Eukaryota; Metazoa; Chordata; Mammalia; Rodentia; Bathyergidae. The record is from RefSeq and is a predicted model, not a curated record. The transcript is spliced from 4 exons.
GAGGACUUCUGGAUUCUUUCAGGCACAGAUGAAGGCAAUGGCUAAACUCCAAGCAGGGAUGUGGCCUGUUCCCAACUGGUGGUUAGAGAAGUUUGCCUGCUUGGUCCGCGGCCCGGAGUAAGGCAAGGCUGUGGGAGAGUCCUCAGGCCCUGGCUGGGUCCCCUAGGGUCUUUCCUUCUCCCUGGAAGAUGCCCCACAGGAUGCCCCUGUCCAGCACCCUAAGUAGCCUCCUGUCCCUGGAACCCCAGAGCCUGAAAGUACACACACCAGAGCCUGGACACCUGAUAGGCUGGGUUUGGAUAACCAGCCUCUGUCACCUAACCCUGCCCUUCCCCAUUGGACCGAGGAGCUAGACUGGCACCCAGAUCCCGAGGGGCAGGGUGCUCUGCAAGCAAUUUUAGGAAACAAUUUGUCUCUCUUCAAGAAUGCGGGCAGGAUACUCAUUUUCAGGCUGCAAAAUCCGAUGCAAUGCAGUCAGCAGGGAAAGCAGAUGGACUCUGCGGAGAAAACACAAGAUGCUGUCUGAGUUAACAAGAUAACAAUUGGAUGUGUUUCUCUCCCCUUCCCCUGCCUCUGUCUUCAACAAGCUCGCAAGUGUUCACAGUUUGCCUUUAAGUAAUUUAGGGAAGGCAUUUGAAGUUCCCAUCUGCCCCAGUCCCUGUACGGCUAUGUUUCUUGUCACCGGCUAACAGCAUUUAAAAUAUUUACAGCUCUUUCUUUGCCCUGAGGGUGUAUCAGAAUAAAUCCUUGUUACCACCAAUAAAUCAAAAAUUAAUCU